Molecule: ribosomal RNA, 469 nt
Filed under: uncultured bacterium
Lineage: Bacteria
Description: bacterial SSU rRNA
Rfam family: Bacterial small subunit ribosomal RNA
Source: RNAcentral
AACGAACGCUGGCGGCAUGCCUAACACAUGCAAGUCGAACGAGACCUUCGGGUCUAGUGGCGCACGGGUGCGUAACGCGUGGGAACCUGCCUUUAGGUUCGGAAUAACUCAGAGAAAUUUGAGCUAAUACCGGAUGAUGUCUUCGGACCAAAGAUUUAUCGCCUUUAGAUGGGCCCGCGUAAGAUUAGCUAGUUGGUGGGGUAAAGGCCUACCAAGGCGACGAUCUUUAGCUGGUCUGAGAGGAUGAUCAGCCACACUGGGACCGAGACACGGCCCAGACUCCUACGGGAGGCAGCAGUGGGGAAUAUUGGACAAUGGGCGAAAGCCUGAUCCAGCAAUGCCGCGUGAGUGAUGAAGGCCUUAGGGUUGUAAACUGCUUUUUGUACCGGAANAAACCCUUUACGUGUAAGAGGCUGAAUGUACGGUAAGAAUAAGGAUCGGCUAACUCCGUGCCAGCAGCCGCGGUAAU